UGAAAGAGCAAGGACCAAGUUAUGUGUACCCAGGGGAUGAUCAAAAAUUCAUUACGAGUAGUGAGUUUUUAAUGCAACCUAUGAGAUCAAAGAGAAGGCUCUCUCUCUAUUGCUCCACCCCCCCUUAACUGAGUAUGCACUUUAAUCGCUGAACUAAAAUCGUGCAUGUUAUUCAUCCUUGUGUUAAAUUCCAAACUAGAAUAAAGCAGAUAUUUUCGUGGUC
Long non-coding RNA from Homo sapiens (human), 223 nucleotides. Lineage: Eukaryota; Metazoa; Chordata; Mammalia; Primates; Hominidae. The record is from Ensembl.